Non-coding RNA from Vicugna pacos (alpaca), 1443 nucleotides. NCBI's taxonomy places the organism in Eukaryota, Metazoa, Chordata, Mammalia, Artiodactyla, Camelidae. The record is from RefSeq and is a predicted model, not a curated record.
ACAGUGAUUUGCAACAGCUUGUGUUUGCUCCCUGGGGGCCAGGGAAAGAGCGCAUGCUCAAAGCUUGUGUUCCAAACCCAGGUCUCUUCCAAAUUCCAUCUUGCUCCUACCUCCCUUGCAAAGCAAAGGCAAAGGCAGUUGCGGUCCACCCAGACCAUCGGGUUCCUCUCAGGCCAGCAGGUGCUCUGAGUGCCCGGGUUCCUAGGAGACACAGGGAGGCGUGGGAGGCAGACAGCGGGUCCAGGCCUGAUUCCUCACCAGCCUUCCUGCCGCCCGCUCUUCUCAGUCUCAUCUCAUUUGCUUUUUCCUGUACAUCUUUUCUUGGUUUGUCAAGGACAAGGUGAGGCCCACUUAGAAACUGUGUUAUGGCAUAGUUGCUGAUUCCAAAAGGAAAGUAAAUAAUAAAACGAAAAGUUGAAUAAGUGAAUUGGGCAAAGAAAAUAUUUAUGUAUUUUCUUCUUACCCGUGCCCAUCUUGGAGGGUGAAGGAGCCAGAAGGCGCGGAGUGUUAGGAGCUGCAGUUCCCGCAGGGGCGGUUUAAACUCGAUCCUGCCUUUGGCGGGAGCAGACUCGGGUUUCUUCUAGACUUCCAAUUCUGCAACUCGAUUUCCACUGAACAACAUUCUACAGACGCCUCUGGCAGCAAGCUUCAAUGUCCCACGUCUCACAAGUCUUAGAGUCAGGCAGCUUCGUCGGAAUCCUCAGAAAGGUCAAAAAUCAGGUUUGCAGUACGUGAACAGGUUGACCAAGAACAAUGUGGAGAUCUGGCUCCAAACACGAAGGAGCCCUAAUUAGAGGCCAUGAUUUUCCCCAGCGAUCAUAAGACUGUUAUGUGUCAACAUUUCAUCCACAGGUAAGGGAGAGAAAAGAGUUUCCCUGCCCCAGGACAGAUAGCUUUUGUUGCCCACCCCCCGCCCCCGCAAAUCUUUAUUAUAUGACUCCAAAAUCAUGGUACAGGAAAACAUAGCAAAAUAACAAUACAAACAUUUCAACAAGGAAUGGAUGAGGGGAACAUGAUUUAGUUUAGUUAUAGAGACAUCACUUAUCUUAACAAAGGAUUAAACAGAUCAUUUAACCUUCUGUUAUGGGAUGAAAAUUAUUGCAUAUCCAGUUCAGCCCAUUGUUCUGACGUAUAAGGGUGAGAGGCAGCUUUCAAAUUAUCAAAAAUAAAAAGCAUGAUGCAGAAAGUGUCUGCUUUACUAAUUCAACACUGUGAAAAAAAUUACUGUAUCUUAAAGUUCCAGUCUCUUUAACCAUCUGUGCUACUAGAUUGUAUUUACUAUGUAUUUUUGGUUCAGAUACUUCAAGAAAAAAUGGUUUAUUUGCAUUUCAAAUUCCUGGGUUGUGUCUUAGUUGUGACUCAGAAGUUCUGCUGAUUGUGUUAAGACCGCUAGUUUAUGAUGUUUUUCUGACACAAUGCCAGGAAUGUUGCAAAAAAAAAAAA